Molecule: ribosomal RNA, 440 nt
Filed under: uncultured bacterium
Lineage: Bacteria
Description: partial 16S ribosomal RNA
Rfam family: Bacterial small subunit ribosomal RNA
Source: RNAcentral
CCUACGGGAGGCAGCAGUGGGGAAUAUUGCACACUUGGGGAAACCCUGAUGCAGCGACGCCGCGUGAGUGAAGCAGUAUUUCGGUAUGUAAAGCUCUAUCAGCAGGGAAGAGAAUGACGGUACCUGAGUAAGAAGCCCCGGCUAACUACGUGCCAGCCGCCGCGGUAAUACGUAGGGGGCAAGCGUUAUCCGGAUUUACUGGGUGUAAAGGGAGCGUAGACGGCGAAGAAAGUCUGAAGUGAAAGCCCGCGGCUCAACCGCGGAACUGCUUUGGAAACUUUUUUGCUGGAGUACCGGAGAGGUAAGCGGAAUGCCUAGUGUAGCGGUGAAAUGCGUAGAUAUUAGGAGGAACACCAGUGGCGAAGGCGGCUUACUGGACGGUAACUGACGUUGAGGCUCGAAAGCGUGGGGAGCAAACAGGAUUAGAUACCCUAGUAGUC